Molecule: non-coding RNA, 692 nt
Organism: Misgurnus anguillicaudatus (oriental weatherfish)
Lineage: Eukaryota; Metazoa; Chordata; Actinopteri; Cypriniformes; Cobitidae
Source: RefSeq, a predicted model, not a curated record
UGGUCAGAUGACUACUCAACUGUUAUUGGUCAACUGGGUUCGGCGUGUGUUUGAAAGGUUACGCCCCUGACUACGCGUGGGUUUUCCGGUUCUGACUGAGAGUCACAGGCAACGUAAACAAGCGUUAUAUUUCUCUAUAAACGAUGGUGUCUGUACUGCCUUACCACUUCGAGCUCGAUCCAGAGAGUUCAGAAGGCCGUUACGAUAUAAACGAUCUCCGUCAAUGAACGCGAUUGGAUUUAACUUUUUUAGGUGUCCUUAGCUCUGCCAGAAUGCUAAACGAAGACGAAAAUGUGUUGCAAAGACAUCCAAAAGGUUUUAAGGAGAAUGCAACAGGUUCCAGGGCCUCUUACCUGCGUGAUUCAUCAUCCAGGUUUUGCACAAAUUGUCUAAAUCCCUACACACAGAACAUUUAUUGUACCGACUAUAAGCCUUUGAAGUGCAGGACUAGAAUAUGCUUGGAGCUUCCUGAUCAGAUCGGUCACAAUGUUUGCUUUCGACGACCCCUGCACUGAAGAUGGCAUGCAAUCACGUCCUCCUUUGAAGGUCUCUCAAACUGUGAUGCCAGGUCCAUUGGAAUCGGGGUUUCCUUCAGCUUAUCUUCAAAUACCUCAUCAAACACAAGCCUGAUCACAUCAUCCACAUAACUGUACAAAUAUUGCAGUCAAUAAAUCUUUUGUUUUGAUCAUUUA